Molecule: ribosomal RNA, 497 nt
Filed under: uncultured bacterium
Lineage: Bacteria
Description: partial 16S ribosomal RNA
Rfam family: Bacterial small subunit ribosomal RNA
Source: RNAcentral
GAUGAACGCUGGCGGCGUGCCUAAUACAUGCAAGUCGAGCGAACAGAUAAGGAGCUUGCUCCUUUGACGUUAGCGGCGGACGGGUGAGUAACACGUGGGUAACCUACCUAUAAGACUGGAAUAACUCCGGGAAACCGGGGCUAAUGCCGGAUAACAUUUAGCACCGCAUGGUUCUAAAGUGAAAGAUGGUUUUGCUAUCACUUAUCGAUGGACCCGCGCCGUAUUAGCUAGUUGGUAAGGUAACGGCUUACCAAGGCAACGAUACGUAGCCGACCUGAGAGGGUGAUAGGCCCCACGGGAAGUGAAACACGGUCAAGACGCCUACGGGAGGCACCAGUAGGGAAUCUGCCGCAAUGGGCGAAAGCCUGACGGAGCAACGCGGCGUGAGUGACGAAGGCCUUCGGAUCGUAAAACUCGGUUAUUAGGGAAGAACAAAUGUGUAAGUAACUGUGCACGUCUUGACGGUACCUAAUCAGAAAGCCACGGCUAACUACGUG